GUUUGUUUUGCUUGCAGGCAGCAGUUUAUCUUCUACAACAUCUGUGUACAAGCCAACACAAGACCAAUCUUGGAACCAUGAAGCAUAUUUAUUAUUUCCAGUUCAUUUGGAUGGAAUACUGGAUAAUGCGAAGGUUAUGAAAACUAAAAAGGAGAUCUUUUCAACCUCAGAUGUUCUUCAAAUAUUCCGGCAGUGACAGCCAACCUCAGCAGCAAACGAGCCCACUGUGGACGGCUGUGAAGAUCUAAUGUAGAACUAUUGGUUCAGAUUAAAAAUGUAAUAUAUUUAGGUUAAAACUAACUAUUUCUGUAACCAACAUGUAAGAAACAGUGUUGGUUAGUUACAACAGCAAUUUUUUGAAAUUGUAAAUAGAGAGGCUUGGUUUUUCCUCUCGAAACUCGAAAGAAUAGA
Molecule: long non-coding RNA, 411 nt
Organism: Rosa rugosa (rugosa rose)
Lineage: Eukaryota; Viridiplantae; Streptophyta; Magnoliopsida; Rosales; Rosaceae
Exons: 3
Source: RefSeq, a predicted model, not a curated record